GGGUGAGUAAUGUAUCGGAACGUACCUUCCAGUGGGGGAUAACGUAGCGAAAGUUACGCUAAUACCGCAUAUUCUGUGAGCAGGAAAGCAGGGGAUCGCAAGACCUUGCGCUGAUUGAGCGGCCGAUAUCAGAUUAGCUAGUUGGUGAGGUAAAGGCUCACCAAGGCGACGAUCUGUAGCGGGUCUGAGGGGAUGAUCCGCCACACUGGAACUGAGACACGGUCCAGACUCCUACGGGAGGCAGCAGUGGGGAAUUUUGGACAAUGGGGGCAACCCUGAUCCAGCCAUGCCGCGUGAGUGAAGAAGGCCUUCGGGUUGUAAAGCUCUUUCGGCCGGGAAGAAAUCGCAUGGGUUAAUACCCUGUGCGGAUGACGGUACCGGCAUAAGAAGCGCCGGCUAACUACGUGCCAGCAGCCGCGGUAAUACGUAGGGUGCGAGCGUUAAUCGGAAUUACUGGGCGUAAAGCGUGCGCAGGCGGUUUUUUAAGACAGGCGUGAAAUCCCCGGGCUCAACCUGGGAACUGCGCUUGUGACUGGAAGGCCAGAGUAUGGCAGAGGGGGGUGGAAUUCCACGUGUAGCAGUGAAAUGCGUAGAGAUGUGGAGGAACACCAAUGGCGAAGGCAGCCCCCUGGGCCAAUACUGACGCUCAUGCACGAAAGCGUGGGUAGCAAACAGGAUUAGAUACCCUGGUAGUCCACGCCCUAAACGAUGUCAACUAGGUGUUGGGUGGGUAAAACCAUUUAGUACCGGAGCUAACGCGUGAAGUUGACCGCCUGGGGAGUACGGCCGCAAGGUUAAAACUCAAAGGAAUUGACGGGGACCCGCACAAGCGGUGGAUGAUGUGGAUUAAUUCGAUGCAACGCGAAAAACCUUACCUACCCUUGACAUGUCCAGGAGCCUGAAGAGAUUUGGGUGUGCCCGAAAGGGAACUGGAACACAGGUGCUGCAUGGCUGUCGUCAGCUCGUGUCGUGAGAUGUUGGGUUAAGUCCCGCAACGAGCGCAACCCUUGUCGUUAAUUGCCAUCAUUUAGUUGGGCACUUUAACGAGACUGCCGGUGACAAGCCGGAGGAAGGUGGGGAUGACGUCAAGUCCUCAUGGCCCUUAUGGGUAGGGCUUCACACGUCAUACAAUGGUCGGUACAAAGGGUUGCCAAGCCGCGAGGUGGAGCCAAUCCCAGAAAGCCGAUCGUAGUCCGGAUCGCAGGCUGCAACUCGCCUGCGUGAAGUCGGAAUCGCUAGUAAUCGUGGAUCAGCAUGUCACGGUGAAUACGUUCCCGGGUCUUGUACACACUGCCCGUCACACCAUGGGAGCGGGUUCCGCCAGAAGUAGGUAGCCUAACCGCAAGGAGGGCGCUUACCACGGCGGGGUUCGUGACUGGGGUGAAGUCGUAACAAGGUA
RNAcentral lists this ribosomal RNA (1399 nucleotides) under metagenome. RNAcentral's name for it is "bacterial SSU rRNA". It matches the Rfam family "Bacterial small subunit ribosomal RNA". The record is from RNAcentral.